This 486-nucleotide ribosomal RNA is filed under the name uncultured bacterium. RNAcentral's name for it is "partial 16S ribosomal RNA". It matches the Rfam family "Bacterial small subunit ribosomal RNA", at positions 29 to 507 of the family's 1533-position model. The record is from RNAcentral.
AUUGAACGCUGGCGGCAUGCUUUACACAUGCAAGUCGAGCGGCAGCGCGGGGGCAACCCUGGCGGCGAGCGGCGAACGGGCGAGUAAUGCAUCGGAACGUAUCCUCGAGUGGGGGCUAACCCAGCGAAAGUUGGGCUAAUACCGCAUGAGCUCUGAGGAGGAAAGCGGGGGACCUGCGAGGGCCUCGCGCUGGAGGAGCGGCCGAUGUCCGAUUAGCUAGUUGGUGGGGUAAAGGCUUACCAAGGCGACGAUCGGUAGCUGGUCUGAGAGGAUGAUCAGCCACACUGGGACUGAGACACGGCCCAGACUCCUACGGGAGGCAGCAGUGGGGAAGUGUGGACAAUGGGGGCAACCCUGAUCCAGCCAUGCCGCGUGAGUGAAGAAGGCCUUCGGGUUUUAAAGCUCUUUCGGAUGGAACGAAAUGGGCGGGACUAAUACUCCUGUCUGAUGACGGUACCGUAAGAAGAAGCACCGGCUAACUACGUG